Cervus elaphus (red deer) is the source of this 745-nucleotide long non-coding RNA. RefSeq lists it as uncharacterized. The transcript has 3 exons. The record is from RefSeq and is a predicted model, not a curated record. NCBI's taxonomy places the organism in Eukaryota, Metazoa, Chordata, Mammalia, Artiodactyla, Cervidae.
UGCCCUGCUGAAGGAAGUAGAAAGGACGGGAACUGGUCAGUCAACAGCAUUCAGGUGCCAAGUCGUGAACACACUGCGGGGAGGAGACCGGUGACAGAAAGUGACUGGAAGACACAGGAAUCCCUAAAAGAUCGAAAAAAUGUUCUCCGCAAACUAAACAAAGUUAGAUUGAGAAAUGCAGCACGGUACCAUGGGGGCCUGGUUCGGCCCUGACCCGAUGCCCGCAGGCGCCGGCCUCAGACGCUCAGAGCAGCCUGGGGAGAGAGGGGACACUUUGACUUUUCAAGAUCUAAGAGUUAUGGUUCCCUUUUGGCAAAAUGCUUUUUGUCCUGUGAUAACACUUGAGUCCUUUGUGGUAGCACCGAUUGUGGCCUUGGCAGCCCAGAAUCCCAUGGACAGAGGAGCCUGACAGGCUGCAGUCCAUGGGGUCGAAAAGAGUUGGACACAAGUGAAGUGACUUAGGAGGCACGCACUGGGAUGACAGACCUGUAACAUCAUUAAAGAAACAUAGGGAUCCCAGAAUGACAAGACUGAACUCUGCCUUCAAAACAGAACAGGAGGAAAAAUGGCUGCUGGGGACCUAGACGGCCUUGCUGAGAUGAAUUCUUGGGUGAUUUGAUUCAAUGAAGCCACUCAUUUCAAAACUGCCUCUUUGUUGUUUUUUUUUUUAAACAAAAAAGUAGGAGUCAUUCAACCUUUUUCGGCAGAUUGAAGUGAUUUUUAAGUGAAUACAGCAAGCAGCCCC